UACGUAGGGAGCAAGCGUUGUCCGGAAUCAUUGGGCGUAAAGAGCGCGUAGGUGGCUGCAUAAGUCCGUUGUGAAAGUCAAAGGCUCAACCUUUGAAAGCCGAUGGAUACUGUGGAGCUAGAGUACGGAAGAGGCGAGUGGAAUUCCUGGUGUAGCGGUGGAAUGCGCAGAUAUCAGGAGGAACACCAAUAGCGAAGGCAGCUCGCUGGGACGUUACUGACACUGAGGCGCGAAAGCGUGGGGAGCGAACAGG
This 253-nucleotide ribosomal RNA is filed under the name uncultured bacterium. Its description in RNAcentral is "partial 16S ribosomal RNA". It matches the Rfam family "Bacterial small subunit ribosomal RNA", at positions 524 to 776 of the family's 1533-position model. The record is from RNAcentral.